Chelmon rostratus (copperband butterflyfish) is the source of this 1590-nucleotide long non-coding RNA. RefSeq lists it as uncharacterized. The transcript is spliced from 4 exons. The record is from RefSeq and is a predicted model, not a curated record. NCBI's taxonomy places the organism in Eukaryota, Metazoa, Chordata, Actinopteri, Chaetodontiformes, Chaetodontidae.
CUCUUCACGGGAGCGCAUCGUACCAGCGACGGAGACGCCAGUUGGAGCUCCGGCGGAGACCAUCGCCGCGCCGGACCGUGAGGAGGGACCGGCUUCUUUUAUUGCCUUUUGGAAAUAAUCGCAGUGAUCGAUCUGCGCGGUUUGCCAGAGCGCCAGUCAGUUUGCAAGGAUACUUUGGACGCGUAAAGAGGAUUUAAUGUUGCCGUUACAGCACUGACACACGUGGAGGAGCUAUUAUUAUUAAUAUUAUUAUUAUUGGUCAAAGUUGAUGAUGGCAACGUCUGAUGGAUUCAGCACCCGAGCUGUGAAUUAUCCUGUCGGAUUUAAGGAAAUACUGUCUCUUACACGGGAUGAGUGGUGUCCAUUACUCCCGCUGCCCAACUCCUUCUGCUGGACACGCCGUUUGGCGGACAGACGAGUCUCUUGGGAUACUUCACGCGUGUGGCCGGGGUCAUGAAGGGCCAACGCCGUGAUACGCUUUUCGGAAAUCGAUAUUUGGUCACGGCGGAUUCGGGCGCAAGGAAAGGAAUACCCUGGAAUAUAUUUUGAAAGCGAUGCUCAGCAGAUGUCCGGCAGUUUGGAUAAUGACUACGCGUCUCCUCAUCCAGCAGUGACGGAAUCCGAAGCUCUUGGAUUGAGACGUCAACCUUUAAUUGCUUCCCGGGGAUCUUGUGAUGAUCUCAGGUGAGCGACGAGGGGGAGCUGACUCAUGGAAACAUGAUCUCAAGAGAUUCAACCGGAUCACACUAAAUCCUGGUUUGGACUGCGGACCAGCAUCCCCUGCGGCAGAUGUUUGCUCCUGGCGUGGCUGCGAAACAGCGUGAGCUCCGUGACUGACAGUCUCGCUCUCGGGAUCCAGCGCCGGCAGCUUGGACGCGGAGGAGCCGUGACAUAAACUCAGCGGGACAGCGAGGCGUAAUCUGCCGCUCAGACAUUAUGGAACAGAUCCGUCAAGCCUGUCUGGAGCGCUGCUUGAUAGGAAAGUGAGCUCGAUGAAUGUACCGGAGUUACCACAAUGGAUCAACACAUUGUUUCACUUCUUCUAAAUUGAACCUGGAUUAAUAUUUUCCCUUAAUAUACAUCUGCUCUUGAUAUUCUAUUGCUCCUAUGCUGCAGUUGUGACAUAUGCUGUUGUGUUCUGGGUACAGUAUCAACAAGCACUGGAACUGUAAAUGGAAAAUAAUCAAAUGUUAUUUUUUAUUCCGUCCAUAUGGACCAGAAAGCAGCACUUCCACCAGUGCAGUCACACACAAAGUUUAUCUCCCGAAAAGAGCGUCAAAUUAAUAAAUAUGCAUGUGAUCGAGGUUUCUCAGAAGGAUUACUCAUUCACUGGAAAUGUGACAUUAUCAUUUGACAUCUUGUAAUUGCCAUCACAAAGAAGCCUUUGUGAUCAAGGUGCUGAUGAAUGCAACCCAAAACCCUCUGUUAUUGAUGCUGCAUUUCAUUGUGACACAUUGGCAGCCUGUGUUGAUAUUGAUUAAUAAUCCUGUCAAGGUGUUUAUCCUCAUGAUGAUUUAUAACCUCAUAGUGUUUGUUGUGUCUGUGAAAACCUGUUAGCGGAAUAAAAAAAGAAAGAAAGAAAGAAAGUUU